This 1398-nucleotide long non-coding RNA is filed under the name Equus caballus (horse). RNAcentral describes it as "lncRNA (ENSECAG00000058969.1)". The record is from RNAcentral. Lineage: Eukaryota; Metazoa; Chordata; Mammalia; Perissodactyla; Equidae.
GAACAAGCCAGGAGGUACCAGAGUCAUUCUUCAGUGAUGUAAAUGCUACACAGGGCAUGUAAAUGCUUAUAGGACUUAUUGUUCCGAGGAUAUGGACUCAGACAGAGGAACACUGGCCAGCAUGCUAGGGACGUGACAUUAGGUUGUCAUUCUGUGGAAGGGUUCUGGCAAAAGCCAGUUGUGUUUCUAGAAUUUCAAUCCAGUGAGUUGGAGUUUAGGGGAACUGGAAGGCAAGCAAGGAAGUUCUAGGGGGUAAAUUCCGGCUUUAGGAUUGGGCUGACGCAAUGAAAGUUGUAGGGAAAUCAGACUGGGAACCAGGUGGACUCCCAGAGGGACUCAUUCCAGAGAUUAUGGUGUCAAGUCUAAUUGACAACUGUGCCCCAGCACCAGAGAAGCUAACAUUGCUGGAUCAGAUCAGGGAUAGGCUGGGGAAAUGGAAUUAAUUCUAAGAUCCGUAAGAUGCUUGAUAAAUAUAGACAGCGCUUACCUAGCGCUGAUUUUGUUCUAGGAACUGUUGAAGCGCUUUACAUGUAUUGUUACAGUUCACCUGCAGAGCAACUCCUAGAGUUGACUUGGGCACCAGAAGGGGACUUUAUCUGCAUGUGAAGAUCCCCAGAACUUGCCCCAGCUGGGAGGGUCAGAGAAAGGCAAGGAAGGUGGAGAAGCAUGCAUAUUAUUCCACCGAAAACACCCUCUGGACCUACGUGAAAGGACUAACCUAAAGUCAAGCACAGAGAAGAGAUAGAUAUCAUCAAAUUAGAAAGUACAAUACAACUGUGUUCUCUUUUUCCCCAAUAAACAAUAAAGAAGUGGGGACUACAACCUCAAAGUGAACAAACACAGAGAAAGCAGAGAUCCUAAUAUCUGAUGACUUUGAAAGAUCUUUGAAGAGGAACCCAUCUCAGAAUUCAAGAGAGAUCUGAUUUUAAUUCCCAGCUCUACCAUCAAAAAGUCCGGUCUGCUCCCCAGUGUCUCUAAGUGUAGAGAGAGAAAUUCUUACCUUGGCUAUCAGCUAUCGCCAAACUUACUGUAAUGAAGAAACGAAGUUACAAUUACGACAGGAAUAUCAAAAUGCCAUGAGGAUGCAGGAUUUUAUGAUCUAUUCCAAGAAAUAAGAUGAUAAGGAAAGUUUGUAUGCAGUAGAAAGAAUAUGGGAUUUGGAGUCAAAGUUAUGUCCAAAUUCUGAGUUGACCCUUAAUGAACUGUGUUACCUUAUAAGUCAUUUAACACCUCAGCCUUAUUUUUCACAAUCUUACAAUAUCUACUUCAUGGAAUUAUUAUGAAAUAUCAGAUAAUACAUGUAAAGGGUCUAGAAUUGUGUAAGGCCCAGAGUGGGUACUCAAUGAAGAUUAGGUAUUAUUGAAAAGUGUUAAAUAAAACAUAUGAGGCGAAGAAGGC